UGGGGAAUAUUGCACAAUGGGCGCAAGCCUGAUGCAGCCAUGCCGCGUGUGUGAAGAAGGCCUUCGGGUUGUAAAGCACUUUCAGCGAGGAGGAAGGUGGUGAGCUUAAUACGCUCAUCAAUUGACGUUACUCGCAGAAGAAGCACCGGCUAACUCCGUGCCAGCAGCCGCGGUAAUACGGAGGGUGCAAGCGUUAAUCGGAAUUACUGGGCGUAAAGCGCACGCAGGCGGUUUGUUAAGUCAGNUGUGAAAUCCCCGGGCUCAACCUGGGAACUGCAUUUGAAACUGGCAAGCUAGAGUCUCGUAGAGGGGGGUAGAAUUCCAGGUGUAGCGGUGAAAUGCGUAGAGAUCUGGAGGAAUACCGGUGGCGAAGGCGGCCCCCUGGACGAAGACUGACGCUCAGGUGCGAAA
This 411-nucleotide ribosomal RNA is filed under the name uncultured bacterium. RNAcentral describes it as "partial 16S ribosomal RNA". It matches the Rfam family "Bacterial small subunit ribosomal RNA", at positions 355 to 758 of the family's 1533-position model. The record is from RNAcentral.